Long non-coding RNA from Oreochromis aureus, 829 nucleotides. NCBI's taxonomy places the organism in Eukaryota, Metazoa, Chordata, Actinopteri, Cichliformes, Cichlidae. The record is from Ensembl.
CGACCAUCCACCUUUGUAGAGCGCUGCAGGCCCUUUCUGUUUCACUUCCUGACAUUAGGAGGCGUUCCUGACCGAUUGCUGCUAUGUGAUUGGCUGGCACAGGUCAUGAUACUGCUCCUGCAAGAGCUGAACAGACUGACUGAGGAGCAGUUUACCAGUUUCAAGUGGCAACUGGGAUGCAGGAUGCGGGAUAUACCUGCAUACAAGCUGGAGAGGGCAGACCGACAUGAAACUGUGGAUCUGAUGGUGCAGCAUCACCCCCAUCAGGCCGUGGUCUUCACCACUGACAUUUUUAGGGCCAUCGCCAGGAACGAUCUGGCUGAGCAUCUGACUCAGCAACUGGCUGAUAUCAACAUGGGAGAUCUGAGAUGACGGGUCUUCGCCUGAAGCUCCGGAAGCAUCAUAACACUCUCAGCUCCCACAGCGCCACGUUCACCAGCACGAAAUACAAAUCCAUGUUUGUUUAUUGAUAAAUAAUCAACUUGUUUGACAUUAUCUCUGCCUCUGUGACCCAAACUCUGUGUUACAGCUCCACCGUCAGGGCAACACUGGACUGUCCACCCUUAUGUAACCGGGUUAUAAUUAGAGAUGGCACGAUACCACUUUUUUAUGUCCGAUACCGAUAUCAUAAAUUUGGAUAUCUGCCGAUACCGAUAUGAAUCUGAUAUAGUGUUUUUUAAUCAAUAAAACUGUUUUUUUAAUAUCUUGCUGCAUUUUGUAUAAGUUCAUACUCAAGUUUAAAUAAACAACAACACUAAAGCUAUUCUGUUAUACUUGUAUGUAAAAAAUACACUGCACCCAAAAUAUUUCAUAGUUCAGCAACACUGAU